UACGAAGGGUGCAAACGUUGCUCGGAAUUAUUGGGCGUAAAGCGCACGUAGGCGGUAUUGCAAGUCGGAUGUGAAAUCCCUCGGCUUAACCAAGGAAGUGCAUCCGAAACUGCUGUACUUGAGUACGAAAGAGGAUCGCGGAAUUCCCGGUGUAGAGGUGAAAUUCGUAGAUAUCGGGAGGAACACCAGUGGCGAAGGCGGCGAUCUGGGUCGAUACUGACGCUGAGGUGCGAAAGCGUGGGGAGCGAACCGG
RNAcentral lists this ribosomal RNA (253 nucleotides) under uncultured bacterium. RNAcentral's name for it is "partial 16S ribosomal RNA". It matches the Rfam family "Bacterial small subunit ribosomal RNA", at positions 524 to 776 of the family's 1533-position model. The record is from RNAcentral.